GACGAACGCUGGCGGCGUGCUUAACACAUGCAAGUCGAGCGGAAAGGCCCUUCGGGGUACUCGAGCGGCGAACGGGGGAGUAACACGUGAGUAACCUGCCCCAGACUUUGGGAUAACCCUCGGAAACGGGGGCUAAUACCGGAUACGACACAGCUUCGCAUGGGGUCUGUGUGGAAAGUUUUUCGGGUUGGGAUGGGCUCGCGGCCUAUCAGCUUGUUGGUGGGGUGAUGGCCUACCAAGGCGACGACGGGUAGCCGGCCUGAGAGGGCGACCGGCCACACUGGGACUGAGACAGGGCCCAGACUCCUACGGGAGGCAGCAGUGGGGAGUAUUGCACAAUGGGCGGAAGCCUGAUGCAGCGACGCCGCGUGAGGGAUGACGGCCUUCGGGUUGUAAACCUCUUUCAGCUGGGACGGAGCGUAAGUGACGGUACCUGCAGAAGAAGCGCCGGCUAACUACGUG
Molecule: ribosomal RNA, 462 nt
Filed under: uncultured bacterium
Lineage: Bacteria
Description: partial 16S ribosomal RNA
Rfam family: Bacterial small subunit ribosomal RNA
Source: RNAcentral